Molecule: long non-coding RNA, 954 nt
Organism: Lactuca sativa (garden lettuce)
Lineage: Eukaryota; Viridiplantae; Streptophyta; Magnoliopsida; Asterales; Asteraceae
Source: RefSeq, a predicted model, not a curated record
CUCUUUAAUAUUAAUAGAAGGAUCCUGGAAUUCACAUCUUCUUAUUUUGUUCGCUUCUUUGUAGCUUUCAAAUUCGAAGAACUUGUUCCUGUUGCUGAGGAUUCUGAAGAGAGGAUUGAGAAGUUCUUGGCUUUAUCAGAAGUCGAGAGAUCCUUCCGAUUCGAUCAAACCAUCCUGCGCCACCGACCUCAUAUCGACAGGAUCCAAAGCCACUCGCUCCAGUGCUCGCUUCAUUCUUGCUGAUUUUGAUACAACCAUGUCGAAGGACCAGUUGGUGGUAAAGAAGGAGAAGAGUUCAUCUUCUCUUCCUCCCAAAAUAUCAACUAUUGACUUGACAGUAAAGACCCCGGGAUCCCGGAAAAGGAAAACUGCUGAGUCCACCGGUUUAUCUUUGGAGAGCCUUGGAGCUGAGGAAGCGCUCCAGAAGUUGGUUUCUUUCUUCUAAGAUCUCUUUGAUCAUGUUUUCGCUGAUAUGAGGAUUCGGACGGAGAGGGCUGAACAAGACCUUCAGGGACAGGAUAGGAUGUGGAAGGCGACCACCAAGGAUCUUCCGAGGAGGGUGGAGCUGCUCAACAAGGAGAAGGCUGAGAGAGAGGAGGAGCACACACACGAGAUGGAGGAAGUGAUCUAUGACGCGAAGGUCAGUGCUGCGGUGGUUGUUUGGGAAGCCAAUAUCCGUCUUGCGGAAGAUCUUGAGAACGCAGGUUCCUGGGACGUGGACGGAUGGUGUGAGGCAUUGGCCAAAAUGACUGGCAAGCUUGCUACUGCCAAACAGGAUCCUGUACUACAACUGAUUGAGGGGGAGGAGAAGAAGGGCACGACCGAUGAUGACCAGGCUAAGGUCUAGGCCUGUCAAAAUAUUAGUAGUUUUUAUUUUUGUCAGUGAUGUAAGACAGUUAACAUUUUGUCUGGGUUGAUAUGCAACCCUUUUUUGAAUGACAUGGUAGCAUUUUC